This 601-nucleotide long non-coding RNA is filed under the name Salvia miltiorrhiza (redroot sage). RNAcentral describes it as "long non-coding RNA (SMIL_LNC012714)". Lineage: Eukaryota; Viridiplantae; Streptophyta; Magnoliopsida; Lamiales; Lamiaceae. The record is from RNAcentral.
AAAAAACCCCCAACUUUCAAUUUUUCCUAAUUUUCCCAUGAUGGGUUUUCCGGCCAAAUUCGAUCACACGUGGAAUCGGAAUUAAGUGACGUGGACACGCCGGAUUGUUAAUAAAACGACGUAGUAUCUAUUAUACAUAAACGACGUCGUUUCGUGCUUGUUAUUCUUCAAUUUGUCGCCGUUCUGCCACGUCCACCACCUUCUUCUUAAAGUCCGAUCGCCGCCGCUCAUCUCCUCCAAAAAACCGGCAGGCUACCGCCUUCAUCCCUGUCUGUUACAGAUCCGACCUCAGAACCCUUCUCUCUGACCCACGUUUUCAGAGUUGCAGCUAGGGUUUUGCCCCCUUUUCGCGCCGCCUAGGGUUUGCGCCGUAAAUAGCAGCGUCGCCCUGACUUGCUUCCUCCGGUGAGCCUCUGUCUCCCAGUCACGCCGCCUAACGCCCCGAGCCUCUUCAAAUUUGGUAUCUGAGUGGAGGAGGGGGAGGAAGUGGGUUUUCAAACGUGGGUUUUCAAUCGGCGCCGGGAAUCGAGUGGAGGAGAGAGGGAGGGGGAGGGAGGAGGAAGUGGCGGCGGUGGGGGAUGGGGGAAGGGGGAGAGUCGAC